AUUGAACGCUGGCGGCGUGCUUUACACAUGCAAGUCGGACGGCAGCAUUGCUUUCGGGCAGAUGGCGAGUGGCGAACGGGUGAGUAAUACAUCGGAACAUACCAUAUAGAAUGGGAUAACUCAUCGAAAGAUGAGCUAAUACCGUAUAAUCUCUGAGGAGGAAAGCUGGGGACUAGCAAUGGCCUGGCGCUAGAUGAAUGGCCGANGGUCGAUUAGCUAGUUGGUGGGUAAAGGCUUACCAAGGCGAUGAUCGAUAGCUGUUCUGAGAGGAAGAUCAGCCACACUGGGACUGAGACACGGCCCAGACUCCUACGGGAGGCAGCAGUGGGAAUUUUGGACAAUGGGGCAACCUGAUCCAGCAACGCCGCGUGAAUGAAGAAGGCCUUAGGGUUGUAAAGUUCUUUUAUUUGGGAG
RNAcentral lists this ribosomal RNA (414 nucleotides) under uncultured bacterium. RNAcentral's name for it is "bacterial SSU rRNA". It matches the Rfam family "Bacterial small subunit ribosomal RNA", at positions 30 to 446 of the family's 1533-position model. The record is from RNAcentral.